RNAcentral lists this ribosomal RNA (253 nucleotides) under uncultured bacterium. Its description in RNAcentral is "partial 16S ribosomal RNA". It matches the Rfam family "Bacterial small subunit ribosomal RNA", at positions 524 to 776 of the family's 1533-position model. The record is from RNAcentral.
UACGGAGGGUGCAAGCGUUAUCCGGAUUCACUGGGUUUAAAGGGUGCGUAGGAGGACAGGUAAGUCAGUGGUGAAAUCUCCGAGCUUAACUUGGAAACUGCCGUUGAUACUAUCUGCCUUGAAUAUUGUGGAGGUGAGCGGAAUAUGUCAUGUAGCGGUGAAAUGCUUAGAUAUGACAUAGAACACCAAUUGCGAAGGCAGCUGGCUACGCGAAUAUUGACACUGAUGCACGAAAGCGUGGGGAUCAAACAGG